RNAcentral lists this ribosomal RNA (338 nucleotides) under Anopheles lindesayi. RNAcentral's name for it is "eukaryotic LSU rRNA". It matches the Rfam family "Eukaryotic large subunit ribosomal RNA", at positions 680 to 965 of the family's 3401-position model. Lineage: Eukaryota; Metazoa; Arthropoda; Insecta; Diptera; Culicidae. The record is from RNAcentral.
UUGCGCGCGAGUCAUGGGCCUGAAACACCCAAAGGCGCAGACAACACAACUGUAUUGAUGCGGGAUUACGGGCGCACUACGGCCUCGGCCGGUUAACCGUGCGUCCCUCCAUCCCCGGGUGUUGCACCAACGGGCCCUUCCCUCCGGGGUUGGGGCCGGCGACAUACCGUGAGCGCGUAGGACGGGACCCGAAAGAUGGUGAACUAUGCCUGAUCAGGUUGAAGUCAGGGGAAACCCUGGUGGAGGACCGAAGCAAUUCUGACGUGCAAAUCGAUUGUCAGAGUUGGGCAUAGGGGCGAAAGACCAAUCGAACCAUCUAGUAGCUGGUUCCUUCCGAA